This 468-nucleotide ribosomal RNA is filed under the name uncultured bacterium. Its description in RNAcentral is "partial 16S ribosomal RNA". It matches the Rfam family "Bacterial small subunit ribosomal RNA", at positions 28 to 507 of the family's 1533-position model. The record is from RNAcentral.
GACGAACGCUGGCGGCGUGCUUAACACAUGCAAGUCGAACGGAAAGGCCCUGCUUUUGUGGGGUGCUCGAGUGGCGAACGGGUGAGUAACACGUGAGUAACCUGCCCUUGACUUUGGGAUAACUUCAGGAAACUGGGGCUAAUACCGGAUAGGAGCUCCUGCUGCAUGGUGGGGGUUGGAAAGUUUCGGCGGUUGGGGAUGGACUCGCGGCUUAUCAGCUUGUUGGUGGGGUAGUGGCUUACCAAGGCUUUGACGGGUAGCCGGCCUGAGAGGGUGACCGGCCACAUUGGGACUGAGAUACGGCCCAGACUCGUACGGGAGGCAGGAGUGGGGAAUAGUGCACAAUGGGCUGAAGCCUGAUGCAGCGACGCCGCGUGCGGGAUGACGGCCUUCGGGUUGUAAUCCGCUAUCGCCUGUGACGAAGCGUGAGUGACGGUAAUGGGUAAAGAAGCACCGGCUAACUACGUG